GUCUGCAACCCGACUACAUGAAGCUGGAAUCGCUAGUAAUCGCGGAUCAGAAUGCCGCGGUGAAUACGUUCCCGGGUCUUGUACACACCGCCCGUCACACCAUGGGAGUCGGAAAUGCCCGAAGUCUGUGACCCAACCUGCAAGGGAGGGAGCAGCCGAAGGCAGGUCGGAUGACUGGGGUGAAGUCGUAACAAGGUAGC
Molecule: ribosomal RNA, 200 nt
Filed under: uncultured bacterium
Lineage: Bacteria
Description: partial 16S ribosomal RNA
Rfam family: Bacterial small subunit ribosomal RNA
Source: RNAcentral